UUAAAUCAGCAGACAGUGAGUGUGACUGGAUACGUGGGACAGUCUGUCCUUCUGCCCUGCUCUUGCUUUCAACUACAAGCCAAACCACACACUCUUAGAUGGGUCUUUAUUAAAGGAUCUGAUCACAAGGAAAUCUUCCCAAAGGACCAGACAAAUCUCUACACAGACAGAGUUCAGCUCAUUAAUGAUCAUCAUCCAGGAAAUCUCUCUCUACUCAUAUCACACCUGACUGUAGAGGAUAGAGGAAAGUACAGGUGUCAGAUUAACAAUGCUAUGGAUGCAAAUGUCAUACUCGUAGUAAGAGACGCACCAACAAGACCUUCAACAUCCACUCCAGUAAUUAUAACAACUUCACCUAAUCCUAAACCAGGUGUCACAACACAAACCCCAAUGAUCAACGACAAAACAACUGCACACACUGAAACAUCUUCUGAAAAAG
This is a long non-coding RNA of Clarias gariepinus (North African catfish), 439 nucleotides long. RefSeq lists it as uncharacterized. Lineage: Eukaryota; Metazoa; Chordata; Actinopteri; Siluriformes; Clariidae. The record is from RefSeq and is a predicted model, not a curated record. The transcript is spliced from 3 exons.